AAGCAGCUGUACAUCAUACUGUACAUUGUUAAUUUUGUGAAUAUAAAUUGCAUCUUGUUUUCAUUUUAUAUGAAUAUACAGGCAUGUACAUGUACCACAUUAUAUUGCAUUGUCACUCUAGCAGUACAAGUAGUGAACUCUUUCUUUAUGUUCUUCCGUUUUAUCUUGUAGAGAUUUGAAGCCUGAGAAUCUUCUCAUUGAUCAGCAUGGCUAUGUUAAAGUAACUGACUUUGGUUUUGCAAAGCGUGUUAAAGGUAGGACUUGGACCCUUUGUGGUACUCCUGAGUAUUUGGCUCCUGAGAUCAUCCUCUCCAAGGUAGAUACA
This is a long non-coding RNA of Amphimedon queenslandica, 325 nucleotides long. RefSeq lists it as uncharacterized. The transcript is spliced from 2 exons. NCBI's taxonomy places the organism in Eukaryota, Metazoa, Porifera, Demospongiae, Haplosclerida, Niphatidae. The record is from RefSeq and is a predicted model, not a curated record.